UAAAGCGUGCGCAGGCGGUUUCGUAAGACAGAUGUGAAAUCCCCGGGCUUAACCUGGGAACUGCAUUUGUGACUGCGAGACUAGAGUGUGGCAGAGGGGGGUAGAAUUCCACGUGUAGCAGUGAAAUGCGUAGAGAUGUGGAGGAAUACCGAUGGCGAAGGCAGCCCCCUGGGCCAACACUGACGCUCAUGCACGAAAGCGUGGGGAGCAAACAGGGUUAGAUACCCUGGUAGUCCACGCCCUAAACGAUGUCAACUAGUUGUUGGGGAAGGAGACUUCCUUAGUAACGCAGCUAACGCGUGAAGUUGACCGCCUGGGGAGUACGGUCGCAAGAUUAAAACUCAAAGGAAUUGACGGGGACCCGCACAAGCGGUGGAUUAUGUGGAUUAAUUCGAUGCAACGCGAAAAACCUUACCUACCCUUGACAUGCCAGGAACUUUCCAGAGAUGGAUUGGUGCCCGAAAGGGAACCUGGACACAGGUGCUGCAUGGCUGUCGUCAGCUCGUGUCGUGAGAUGUUGGGUUAAGUCCCGCAACGAGCGCAACCCUUGCCAUUAAUUGCCAUCAUUCAGUUGGGCACUUUAAUGGGACUGCCGGUGAUAAACCGGAGGAAGGUGGGGAUGACGUCAAGUCCUCAUGGCCCUUAUGGGUAGGACUUCACACGUAAUACAAUGGUCGGUACAGAGGGUUGCCAACCCGCGAGGGGGAGCUAAUCCCAGAAAGCCGAUCGUAGUCCGGAUUGUUCUCUGCAACUCGA
RNAcentral lists this ribosomal RNA (756 nucleotides) under uncultured Rhodocyclales bacterium. RNAcentral describes it as "bacterial SSU rRNA". It matches the Rfam family "Bacterial small subunit ribosomal RNA", at positions 561 to 1315 of the family's 1533-position model. The record is from RNAcentral. Lineage: Bacteria; Pseudomonadati; Pseudomonadota; Betaproteobacteria; Rhodocyclales.